GCCACGCUGGGAAUCGAACCCCUGACCCUGGAGGUGUGAGGCAAACGUGCUAACCACUAAGCCACCGUGCACCCACUUUAAAUCUUUUAACAAUUUAUUUAAUUCCACACAAAUUCAUUUGUUUUCGUUUUCUGGUGUGUGUGUGUGUGUGUGUGUGUAUGAGUGUGUGUAAAUGUGUGUAUGUAUGAGUGUGUGUAUGUGUGUGUGUAUGUAUGAGUGUGUGUAUGUGUGUGUGCAUGUGUGCAUGUGUGAGUGUGUAUGUGUGAGUGUGUGUAUGUGUGUGUGUGUGCAUGAGUGUGUAUAUGUGUGUGUGUGAGUGUGUGUGAGUGUGUGUAUGUGUGUGUAUGUGUGGUAGCUAUGGCUCAGGUGGUUGAGCGGGUUGUCCGCUAAUCCACUAAUCAUAGGGUUGGUGGUUCGAUUCCUGGCCCAGGUAAAAAGUGUCCUUGGGCAAGACAUUGAACCCCAUGUAGCUCCCAAUUAGCGCCUUGCAUGGCAGCUCUGCUACCAUUGGUGUGUGAGUGUGUGAAUGGGUGAAUGAGACACAGUGUAAAGCGUUUUGGAUAAAAGCGCUAUAUAAGUGCCCCAUUUACCGUGUGUGUGUGUAUGUAUGAGUUGUGUGUGUGUGUGUGUGUGUGUGUUUGUGUGGAGGGCCGGGCCAUGUGUUAGUUAAAUAUUGACGUGGUGUGUAAUGAUUAACGGGACUGCAGUUCCACAUUACAUUAACCUGCUGCUCUCAGUCACACACUCACUCUCUCACUCAGCGCCAACACCUUCACUCUGCUGCUACUGUGUGUGUGUGUGUGUGUGUGAGAGUGUGUGUCCUGUAUCAGAGACUCCUCGAGGGAACACCACUAUAGGUGUGUGCUGCAGUUCCUCACACUUAUCCAAAGAUGGUGCUGUAGUCUCUCUCUCUCUCUCUCUCUCUCUCUCUCUCUCUCUCUCUCGCUCUCUCUCUCUGUCUGUCUCUCUCUCUCUCUCUCUCUCUCUCUCUCUCUCUCUCUUGGUGCUAGCUGCCUGUAACAGCAACUCCAUGUGGAAUGUGUGAGUGUGACCUCCAGUGGAGCUGCUGUUACUUGCAGAGAGUCACCCCUGACCCCUGACCCCUGACCUUUCACUGUGACCUUCAGCUGAUCUACAAUCCAAUAAAUUGAUUAGAAAUUGAUCACACAGUGUUUGCUACAGGCUAAUAACUAAUGUCUAAUAUCCUGCUAGUCUUUGCUAACAGCAUUGUGAGGUGUGAAGUGUACUGUUCUGUAGUUGGUUUGUGAUUUGGGAUGCAGCCUGUGUCUUAAACUCACUCUAUUACUAACAGUAUGUGUAUUGGGAGCAUACAGUGACCAAUCAGAGCCACUCAGUUUAUAUAUUCACACAUAUCUGUGCAUAUAUUUGCAUAUUAAUCAGUGGGCAUUGCUGAUUGGGCGGCAGGGUGAUGACCUAUGAAUUGACAGCCAGUGUUCUCAGAUGGGCUGCCUGUCAGUUCUGUAGGCCACUGCCCCACCUGCCUUCACACACACACACACACACACACACACACAUACACACACACUCUCUCCCUCACUCAGUUUAAAGAAAUAUAUGAUCAUUAUGUUUGUCUAAUUUGUGUACUAAAGUAUUAAGUCAGCCUAAAUGUAUAAUGUGAUAAAAUGUGAAUUGGAACACAGCCUGUAUGUGUAUGUGAACACCUCCACAUUUUAUAGUGAGUUUUAUUUAUGUAUAUUUUUAGAUUGUGUUCAAAUUAACCAAUAACCAGGUUCUCUCUGAAGUGUAUAGUGUUUAUGUUGAGGUUAAAUUUGAAAUCAGUUUAUUAGAUUAAAUCAACAUCACUUCCUGUGUGUUUAAUAAAACCUGUACACUUUAUACGCUAGAGCCACUGCAGUUCUCACCUGGUUUCUCACUGAAGAUAAGCAGGGUUGAGCCUGGCCAGUACCUGGAUGGUAGACCUCCUGCGGAAAGCUAAGGUUGCUGCUGGAAGUGGUAUUAGUGAGGCCACAGGGGGCGCUCACCCUGUGGUCUGUGUGGGGUCUAAUGCCCCAGUAUAGUGACGGGGACACUAUACUGUAAAAACAGCACUGUCUUUCGGAUGAGACGUUAAACCGAGGUCCUGACUCUCUGUGGUCAUUAAAAAUCCCAGGACACUUAUGGUAAAGAGUAGGGGUAGAACCCCAGUGUCCUGCCCAAAUUCCCCCACUGGCCCUUCUCUAUCAUGGCCCCCUAAUAAUCUUCAUCUCUGAAUUGGCUACAUCACUCUCCUCUACACUAAUAGCUGGUGUGUGGUGGGAGUUCUGGGGUACCAUCGCUGCCUCUCAUCAUCCAGGUGGAGGCUACACACUAGUGGUGGUUGAGGAGACCCACCCCCUCCCUCCCAAUACUAUGUAAAGUGCAUUGAGUGUCUAGAAAAGCGUUAUAUAAAUAUAACUGUAACUAACUACUGGCAAGGGAGACUAGAGAGUGAGCUUCUUUAUUGGAACAGAGCCUGAGUUCAUAUCACAGGGAACCUGAGUGCUGGGAAACCUGGAGGGAGAACAGACUGUGUUCUAACACACCUAAAAUAACUUCAGUGUUUUAUUUUGGAAAAAGAAAGAUGAAAAGAGAAAACUAAUAAAGGUGUUGGUGAAUAAA
Ictalurus furcatus (blue catfish) is the source of this 2619-nucleotide long non-coding RNA. RefSeq lists it as uncharacterized. The transcript has 2 exons. NCBI's taxonomy places the organism in Eukaryota, Metazoa, Chordata, Actinopteri, Siluriformes, Ictaluridae. The record is from RefSeq and is a predicted model, not a curated record.